GGAGAGGUGCGAGAGUGGUUGAAUCGGACGGUCUCGAAAACCGUUAUGCCUGCAAAGGCAUCGAGGGUUCGAAUCCCUCCCUCUCCG
This 87-nucleotide transfer RNA is filed under the name Patescibacteria group bacterium. RNAcentral describes it as "tRNA-Ser". It matches the Rfam family "tRNA". Rfam says of the family: Transfer RNA (tRNA) molecules are approximately 80 nucleotides in length. Their secondary structure includes four short double-helical elements and three loops (D, anti-codon, and T loops). The record is from RNAcentral.